UCAGUCUGGGGUUGGGAAGAAUGUUAAGAUAGAGUAGCAACUGGGGGAAGAGCACGCCAAAUUGUAACUAUAACUAAGUAGAAAUUUAAAAAUCCUAAUCUCAGAUACAGAGACUUAUUUGAAUAUGAUAUGUCUUAAAUGGGGUAUUCUAAACAUCACUCCCCUGCUGGAAUCGCCUGAUCUAGUUCUGCCUAGAUGCAAAAGGUUAGACCAGAUGAAUCCUAAACUCUCAGAGGAAGGAAGGACUCAAUCUCUCUAGGGCCUCUGUUUCCAGAAUCUUCCUUGUCAGGAUAUCUUCAGAAAAUGUAGCCAAAAUCCCUCCUGCUGCUGCUUGUAACACGUUAGGAGUCUGAUGAUGAAUAUAGUUCAUCUUGACUGUCCCCUCCUCCCUGGGAGCUUGUGACAGCACAUCUUACAAAAAAACCAUUAGGUUCUGAAAGUGUUGGGACUGGCCCUGGCAUGUCUUUGCCCUUCUGUGCUGUCCUAUCUCCGGAUGACUUCAGAGAAGGUGAGGGUGGUGUUCAAUGGAUGCUCCCGCCUCCCCCUCCUCUUUCCUCUCAAUCGCCAAUAUAUUUUCUCUGACAGUUUGCACAGAUAGUUAAGAUACCGUGUAAUUACUGUUGCAUUUGAAAGCCAAACAUGAUUUAUAUCUGACAAGCUCAGUCAUCUUUGGGAUGACUUGGGAUGUGUGUGUAUGUGUACUUGUGUGUGUGUGUGUGUGUGUGUGUGUGUGUACAUAUGUUGGUUAUGUCUUUCUGUGGGAGCAGAGUAGGUAUUGGGCCCUCUGCCUCUCUCUCCCACUCAGUUACCUUCUUUUACUGAAUCAAGAAACUGGAAUAUACAGAGCACUGGAAGGAGAGGCAACAUCCCUAUUAUCAGGAGGCAGAUGGGACUGGCUUCUGUCAGUACAGACCUGCAUCCCGGCCCCGCCCCAACUGCUGAUUAUACCCCUUGGGAUGCAUCAUUGCUAGGAAAGCAGAUGUGCCAGAUGUGACAUGUUUGAAAGAAGAAAAAAUCCCUUACCUCUGAGCCUUGGGGAGAGCUGCUAA
RNAcentral lists this long non-coding RNA (1049 nucleotides) under Felis catus (domestic cat). RNAcentral describes it as "lncRNA (ENSFCAG00000050896.1)". The record is from RNAcentral. Lineage: Eukaryota; Metazoa; Chordata; Mammalia; Carnivora; Felidae.